UAUUGGUCAAUAGCCUAAGAGGCUGAACCAGCAACUUGGAGGAAUGUAUAGGGAAAACUGGUAAAAUGUAAUGUACCUAAUAGUAUUAGUGAUUAAUAUGAAAUUAACUAAGUUAAUUAAAAUUCGAAGUAGAUAUGUGAUUAUGACAAUAUUUGCUUAUUUCUUGACCAAGUCACGUGCCAGCAGUCGCGGUAAUACGUGGAAGAUAAGUGUUAUUCAUCUUUAGUAGGUUUAAAGGGUACCUAGACGGUUAAUUAAGCAUAUAUUUGUACUAAUUACUAACUAGAGUUUAAUGUAAGAAGGAUUGAGUACGGUGAGUGUAGAGAUAAAAUUCAGUCAUACCACUUAGGAACUGGUAAAGGCGAAGGCAACCUUUUAUGUAAAAACUGACGUUAAGGGACGAAGGCUCGUAUUAAGCAAUAGGAUUAGAGACCCUAGUAUUGUGGGCAGACAAUGAUGAGUGUCAUAUGCAAGAAUUUUUUUGUGUAUAAAUGAAAGUGUAAGCACUCCACCUCAAGAGUAACGUGGCAACAUGGGAACUGAAAUCAUUAGACCGUUUCUGAAACUCGUAGUGAAGUAUGUUGUUUAAUUUGAUAACCCUCAAAUAACCUUACCACAAUUUGUAUAACUAGUAAAAAUUAAUAACUAGUAACAAGCGUUGCACGGCUGUCUUCAGUUAAUGUUGUGAAACUUUGGUUAGAUCCAUUAAAUUGACGUAAACCCUUGCUUUAUUUGUUAUAAAGCAGUUCGCCGCUAUAUUGGUAGUGAUAUAAGGGACUAAGACAA
This 786-nucleotide ribosomal RNA is filed under the name Phaeographis sp. Lumbsch 19825g. Its description in RNAcentral is "SSU rRNA". It matches the Rfam family "Bacterial small subunit ribosomal RNA", at positions 362 to 1188 of the family's 1533-position model. Lineage: Eukaryota; Fungi; Ascomycota; Lecanoromycetes; Ostropales; Graphidaceae. The record is from RNAcentral.